CCUGGCUCAGAUUGAACGCUGGCGGCAUGCCUAACACAUGCAAGUCGAACGGCAGCACGACCUGGUUUACCAGGUGGGUGGCGAGUGGCGGACGGGUGAGUAAUGCGCAGGAAUAUACCUUAAAGAGGGGGAUAACUUGGGGAAACUCAAGCUAAUACCGCAUAAUCUCUGAGGAGAGAAGCUGGGGACCUUCGGGCCUGGCGCUUUAAGAUUAGCCU
This 218-nucleotide ribosomal RNA is filed under the name uncultured bacterium. RNAcentral's name for it is "partial 16S ribosomal RNA". It matches the Rfam family "Bacterial small subunit ribosomal RNA", at positions 18 to 232 of the family's 1533-position model. The record is from RNAcentral.